This 723-nucleotide long non-coding RNA is filed under the name Rattus norvegicus (Norway rat). Its description in RNAcentral is "long non-coding RNA NONRATT018525". Lineage: Eukaryota; Metazoa; Chordata; Mammalia; Rodentia; Muridae. The record is from RNAcentral.
GUUCCCUCAGUGUUAUGCACCCUACACGAUAUAUUCUAGCUGGAGGUAAUUGCAGUGGGAGGUUACAUGUUUUUAUGCACCAAGAAACCUGAGUUAUGGGGUAGGGUCAACAAACUGUUCCAAUUGCUCUGUAGCUAAGGAACCUAGAGACUUGUUGGACUCAACUUCGUGCAUCUGUCUGGUCAUGUGGCAUACUUAGUAAAUAGAGCAUUGCUUUCCCAGGGAGACCUCCAUGCAGAAUGUGCUAAGAUGUUCCAGUGCACUUGUCCGCUUCCAGCACUUCUAAUUAGGCUGUACUUUUCAAAAUUCUAACAUUCUAAAGCUUUCAGUGGUCAUUAUUAACCUUUUGUGGCAUAAUGAGACCAUUUUGAUGCAAUAGUAAUCUGUAGAUCUGUGAUUUACUUAGUUUGGGGUAAAUAUUUAUUUCUCAACACUGGACUAGGUCCUAAAAGGUCAUCUAAUUAUGAAACAUUAUUGAACUGCAGAGACUGUCCCAUGUUUGACAAGUAUUCUGCUGACUCAUACCCCACCUUUGAAACUUAAAUGGUUGUUUUGCUUUGUUCUUGAGACUGGAUCUUGCUAUGUACCCGAGGUUAGCUUUGAACUUAGUCCUUCUGCCUCACUUUUCCAAGUGCUAGGACUGUAGGUAUGUAUUACAUGCCCAGCCAGAACUUAGUUUCAUAAGCUAAGAGCUGUUUUUGAGUCCUUGUAUCUCAGUUCAGU